UAGGGAAUCUUCGGCAAUGGGGGCAACCCUGACCGAGCAACGCCGCGUGAGUGAAGAAGGUUUUCGGAUCGUAAAGCUCUGUUGUAAGAGAAGAACGUGUGUGAGAGUGGCAAGUUCACACAGUGACGGUAACUUACCAGAAAGGGACGGCUAACUACGUGCCAG
RNAcentral lists this ribosomal RNA (165 nucleotides) under uncultured bacterium. RNAcentral describes it as "partial 16S rRNA". It matches the Rfam family "Bacterial small subunit ribosomal RNA", at positions 355 to 511 of the family's 1533-position model. The record is from RNAcentral.